This 602-nucleotide ribosomal RNA is filed under the name Enterococcus faecium. Its description in RNAcentral is "bacterial SSU rRNA". It matches the Rfam family "Bacterial small subunit ribosomal RNA", at positions 114 to 702 of the family's 1533-position model. The record is from RNAcentral. Lineage: Bacteria; Bacillati; Bacillota; Bacilli; Lactobacillales; Enterococcaceae.
CACGUGGGUAACCUGCCCAUCAGAAGGGGAUAACACUUGGAAACAGGUGCUAAUACCGUAUAACAAUCGAAACCGCAUGGUUUUGAUUUGAAAGGCGCUUUCGGGUGUCGCUGAUGGAUGGACCCGCGGUGCAUUAGCUAGUUGGUGAGGUAACGGCUCACCAAGGCCACGAUGCAUAGCCGACCUGAGAGGGUGAUCGGCCACAUUGGGACUGAGACACGGCCCAAACUCCUACGGGAGGCAGCAGUAGGGAAUCUUCGGCAAUGGACGAAAGUCUGACCGAGCAACGCCGCGUGAGUGAAGAAGGUUUUCGGAUCGUAAAACUCUGUUGUUAGAGAAGAACAAGGAUGAGAGUAACUGUUCAUCCCUUGACGGUAUCUAACCAGAAAGCCACGGCUAACUACGUGCCAGCAGCCGCGGUAAUACGUAGGUGGCAAGCGUUGUCCGGAUUUAUUGGGCGUAAAGCGAGCGCAGGCGGUUUCUUAAGUCUGAUGUGAAAGCCCCCGGCUCAACCGGGGAGGGUCAUUGGAAACUGGGAGACUUGAGUGCAGAAGAGGAGAGUGGAAUUCCAUGUGUAGCGGUGAAAUGCGUAGAUAUAUGGA